Molecule: ribosomal RNA, 560 nt
Filed under: Calidithermus chliarophilus
Lineage: Bacteria; Thermotogati; Deinococcota; Deinococci; Thermales; Thermaceae
Description: bacterial SSU rRNA
Rfam family: Bacterial small subunit ribosomal RNA
Source: RNAcentral
GUGCAGGGCGGCGUGCUAUACAUGCAAGUCGAGCGGACAGAAGGGAGCUUGCUCCCGGAUGUUAGCGGCGGACGGGUGAGUAACACGUGGGUAACCUGCCUGUAAGACUGGGAUAACUCCGGGAAACCGGAGCUAAUACCGGAUAGUUCCUUGAACCGCAUGGUUCAAGGAUGAAAGACGGUUUCGGCUGUCACUUACAGAUGGACCCGCGGCGCAUUAGCUAGUUGGUGAGGUAACGGCUCACCAAGGCGACGAUGCGUAGCCGACCUGAGAGGGUGAUCGGCCACACUGGGACUGAGACACGGCCCAGACUCCUACGGGAGGCAGCAGUAGGGAAUCUUCCGCAAUGGACGAAAGUCUGACGGAGCAACGCCGCGUGAGUGAUGAAGGUUUUCGGAUCGUAAAGCUCUGUUGUUAGGGAAGAACAAGUGCAAGAGUAACUGCUUGCACCUUGACGGUACCUAACCAGAAAGCCACGGCUAACUACGUGCCAGCAGCCGCGGUAAUACGUAGGUGGCAAGCGUUGUCCGGAAUUAUUGGGCGUAAAGGGCUCGCAGGCG